UACAGAGGGUGCGAGCGUUAAUCGGAUUUACUGGGCGUAAAGGGCGCGUAGGCGGUUAUGUAAGUGAGAUGUGAAAUCCCUGGGCUUAACCUAGGAACUGCAUCUCAUACUGCGUAGCUAGAGUAUUGUAGAGGGUAGUGGAAUUUCCGGUGUAGCGGUGAAAUGCGUAGAUAUCAGGAGGAACACCAAUAGCGAAGGCAGCUCGCUGGGACGGUACUGACGCUGAGACGCGAAAGCGUGGGGAGCAAACAGG
This 253-nucleotide ribosomal RNA is filed under the name uncultured bacterium. RNAcentral's name for it is "partial 16S ribosomal RNA". It matches the Rfam family "Bacterial small subunit ribosomal RNA", at positions 524 to 776 of the family's 1533-position model. The record is from RNAcentral.